Molecule: ribosomal RNA, 402 nt
Filed under: Triticum aestivum (bread wheat)
Lineage: Eukaryota; Viridiplantae; Streptophyta; Magnoliopsida; Poales; Poaceae
Description: partial small subunit ribosomal RNA
Source: RNAcentral
AUGAUCCUCCAAGCCUCGGAUAAGAACAAUUCGCUCAUUGACAGGCGUAUGGAUAAAUUUCGCCAGUUUGUUGAUAGCAAUGGCCUUAAGGAGCUAUACAUGCACGGGAGAGCCUUCACUUGGAGCAAUGAGAGAGAUUCCCCCACCCUCACGAAGAUUGACAAGGCCCUAGUUUCUGUGGAUUGGGAGCUGGAGCACCCAUACUACCUCUUGCAAGCUCUCUCCACCUCAUCCUCGGGCCAUUGCCCUCUGCAUCUUGCCCUUCAGGAGAACAUGCACCCGCAGAAAUGUUUCAAAUUUGAGGUUUUCUGGACCAAGCUCGAGGGCUAUGAGGUGGCUGAGGGAGUCCUGGAUAAGGGGGUAUCCGGACAGCUGGACUAUGUACUUUGGCCGGACUGUUGA